UUUAACCCGGGGUGGGAGCUCCUGCUCCCACUCCAGCCAUUCUGCCCCAUCUGGAGAGAUACUCAGGAACACGUGUAAAGUUCAUAGCGCAGAGGAACAACUAUAAAAUAGAAAGCCUCAGUUGCUUACCACCAGGUGACUGGAAGCCAAUUAACGGCAGUUCCUGUGACCAAGUAUAUCAUGCCUGCCUGUCAAGAAAAUAUUAUGAGAGAAACCAAAAACCAAAGUCAAUUGGAAGAAACAUCAUACCACACCAUCCAGUGGUGUUAGACCCAUCAGGACAAGAAUUUAAAGAACUAGGAUUGAUAUUCUGAGGUCCUGAGGGGUAAAGUAGAUGCCACAGGAGAACAAGUGCCCAUGUGAUGGAUCCACACACCGAGUAGACCCAGAAUAAAACAGUAUGCAGUGUCAAAAAGAAACGAACCAUCGAACUAUGAAGACACGGAGGAUCCUUAAACUCACACCUGGUGAAGAAGCCGAUAUGAGAAGGCUGCGUAAUGCACAGUCCCAGUGGUGUGGUGACCGGUGGGACAGGCAAAGCUACACAAAGAUCUGUGAGAAAAACUGCACAUGGUACAAGGACCAAACUAGAAGGAGCCAGACCAGCCCUCCAUGAGGAAUGGGAAUGUGACAGCAAGUGUCUCCAAGGAUUUCUACCACAGCCAGGGACACCAAUCGCCAAUGGCUACCAUGAGUGCAAACCACUCUCCAAUCGUGACCAUUCCCUAGUUAGAGGGAGGCAUUCCUGCUGCAACAUCAGUUCUCAAGGAUCAACUCGCUGCUCUAAGUGAACCUACCAUACACAACAUAAUCUCCAUAAGAAAAUGCACCUUGUACCCAGCAACAUAGAUGAUUUCAUAACUCAAGGUGACCAUAUUUAUAGCACAUUUCAGCUCAGACUAGGCCUUUUUCCAGUGCUCAGUUCAAUAUGUGAAUUA
Non-coding RNA from Peromyscus maniculatus bairdii (prairie deer mouse), 938 nucleotides. The record is from RefSeq and is a predicted model, not a curated record. Lineage: Eukaryota; Metazoa; Chordata; Mammalia; Rodentia; Cricetidae.